RNAcentral lists this ribosomal RNA (440 nucleotides) under uncultured bacterium. RNAcentral's name for it is "partial 16S ribosomal RNA". It matches the Rfam family "Bacterial small subunit ribosomal RNA", at positions 338 to 795 of the family's 1533-position model. The record is from RNAcentral.
CCUACGGGUGGCAGCAGUAGGGAAUAUUGCUCAAUGGGGGAAACCCUGAUGCAGCAACGCCGCGUGGAGGAUGAAGGUUUUCGGAUUGUAAACUCCUUUUAUUAGAGAAGAUAAUGACAGUAUCUAACGAAUAAGCACCGGCUAACUCCGUGCCAGCAGCCGCGGUAAUACGGAGUGUGCAAGCGUUACUCGGAAUCACUGGGCGUAAAGAGCGCGUAGGCGGGGUAGCAAGUCAGAUGUGAAAUCCUAUGGCUUAACCAUAGGACUGCAUUUGAAACUGUUAUUCUAGAGUAUGGGAGAGGGAGGUGGAAUUCUUGGUGUAGGGGUAAAAUGCGUAGAGAUCAAGAGGAAUACUCAUUGCGAAGGCGACCUGCUAGAACAUAACUGACGCUGAUGCGCGAAAGCGUGGGGAGCAAACAGGAUUAGAUACCCUUGUAGUC